UAGGCUUGACAUGCUAGUUAAAGCGGGUGAAAGCCCGUGUCCGUAAGGGGCUAGCACAGGUGCUGCAUGGCUGUCGUCAGCUCGUGUCGUGAGAUGUUGGGUUAAGUCCCGCAACGAGCGCAACCCCCGUCGCAUGUUGCCAGCAUUCAGUUGGGGACUCAUGCGAGACUGCCGGUGACAAACCGGAGGAAGGUGGGGAUGACGUUCGUCAGUCAA
RNAcentral lists this unclassified non-coding RNA (216 nucleotides) under uncultured bacterium. RNAcentral's name for it is "contains 16S-23S intergenic spacer region". It matches the Rfam family "Bacterial small subunit ribosomal RNA", at positions 976 to 1193 of the family's 1533-position model. The record is from RNAcentral.